CUACGGAGGAUCCGAGCGUUAUCCGGAUUUAUUGGGUUUAAAGGGUGCUCAGGCGGGACAUUAAGUCGGCGGUGAAAUUUUGCGGCUCAACCGUAAAAGUGCCUUCGAAACUGGGAUCCUUGAGUGUGGAUGAGGUAGGCGGAAUUUGUGGUGUAGCGGUGAAAUGCAUAGAUAUCACGAGGAACUCCGAUUGCGCAGGCAGCUUACUAAGCCAUAACUGACGCUCAAGCACGAAGGCGUGGGGAUCAAACAGGAUUAGAUACCCUGGUAGUCCACGCAGUAAACGAUGAUUACUGGCUGUUUGCGAUAUAAUGUAAGCGGCUGAGCGAAAGCGUUAAGUAAUCCACCUGGGGAGUACGUUCGCAAGAAUGAAACUCAAAGGAAUUGGCGGGG
This 393-nucleotide ribosomal RNA is filed under the name uncultured bacterium. RNAcentral's name for it is "partial 16S ribosomal RNA". It matches the Rfam family "Bacterial small subunit ribosomal RNA", at positions 523 to 918 of the family's 1533-position model. The record is from RNAcentral.